UACGUAGGUGGCAAGCGUUGUCCGGAUUUAUUGGGUUUAAAGGGUGCGUAGGCGGUCAAUUAAGUCAGUGGUGAAAUACGGCAGCUCAACUGUCGAGGUGCCAUUGAUACUGGUUGACUUGAGUACUGAUGAGGUAGGCGGAAUGGACGGUGUAGCGGUGAAAUGCUUAGAGAUCGUCCAGAACACCGAUAGCGAAGGCAGCUUACUAAGGAGUAACUGACGCUGAGGCACGAAAGUGUGGGGAUCAAACAGG
RNAcentral lists this ribosomal RNA (253 nucleotides) under uncultured bacterium. RNAcentral describes it as "partial 16S ribosomal RNA". It matches the Rfam family "Bacterial small subunit ribosomal RNA", at positions 524 to 776 of the family's 1533-position model. The record is from RNAcentral.